GUGGAAAUUAACUUGUAAUAUGAGGUAUUUGAAAGUAAAAUGGUUUAAGAACACACUCUUAUGGGUUUUAUUUCCUUGUAGGUAUUAUUUUUUAUCCAGUCAAAAAUGUUGAAAUAUCACUUGUCACUGUACAAAUAACAGGAAGUAGUUCAAUAUAGUUUCUCCAUAUUUACUCUCUGUGGUUUUGAGCAAGACUUUUGAGAAGCUUUCAGAAGAUAUGCUGCAGAGAGUCGGUGAGGGCGGCUCAUUGUCUAUAACGAUGAACAUAAUAAUUGCUCUUCUGUGUGAGUACACUAACAGAUAACAUCUAUGUCUUUCAGUCAAACUGUUUUCUGUCUAUUUAAGCUGACAGGAUUCAUUUAAUUUUUCACUUCUUUUCUUCAAGGUAUUCUGACAAAUCAGGUCAUAAGCCAAGAUAUUUUUCCUGCAAGGAUCCUGGCCCAGCAGACAAUUAUAAGUGAAAACAGUGAACUUUAUGUAACAUGCAGCACAUUUGGAAAAAAGAAAGACUCCAAGGUUUAUGUUUAUUUGUUAAUAAAUGGGCGCAGAAUCCAGACUGAGCCCCAGAAGCAAGAUCAAAAUGACAUCCUGUUCAAGAUAUUCAGAGCUGGUCUUCAUCACAGUGGAAAUUACAGCUGUGUUUAUUCCCCCCAAAAUUAUACACUUUCUGAAGUAGUCAAGGAAGGAGACAACAUCAUUGAGAUUCUGGUCAUAGCCAAUUUUCUCCCAGCAGAUAUUUCAAUAGUUGGGCCAUCCACUGUUCACGAGGGACAUCAUGUUGAAUUCCAGUGCACAGUGUCUCAACACCUACAUACACUUGGUGGAUGUGAACUUAUCUACGCUUACCUGAGGAAGAACGACACGAUUCUCCAAGUGCAAGUCUUUAAUGUGUCUCAGAUGCUGGCAACUUUCAUCAUUGAUGGUGCAGUUUUGAGGGAUUCAGGUCCUUACAGCUGCAUAGUGUUGCCAUCUAAAUGCUUCUAUAAGCACGAGUACACAGUUCAUGGAACAAACAAUUUAUUUCUUGAGGUCAAAGGUAAGGGUCUCUGAAUGUUUCAAAAACGCUUUAAAUAGACUUAUUUUUAUAAUAAUGCAUUAUUUUUAUACUGAAAUAUAUUUUGAAAUAUAGGUAAUCAUGUCUUAUUUUACUUUCCAGUGGAUUUGGUGUCUACAGUGUUACUCCAUGGUGGAGUAAUAACCUUGAUGCUGUCACUAGGGGCGUGUCUUUGGUGGAUUUCAAACAAACUAGGUCAAAUAAGUAUAAUUAAAAAUAAUUUUAGGCUUCACAUUUUUUUCACAAGUCAUUGUAUAUUGUAUGGAUUAAUCAAACCAACCACAUAAUAUAGCUGAAUAUACCUGCAUGCUAUAUUUUGCUCUAAAAUUAUAUUUGUUUUGUGUUUCAACAGUUCGCUCAACUUCUUG
RNAcentral lists this long non-coding RNA (1422 nucleotides) under Oreochromis niloticus (Nile tilapia). RNAcentral's name for it is "lncRNA (ENSONIG00000032710.1)". The record is from RNAcentral. Lineage: Eukaryota; Metazoa; Chordata; Actinopteri; Cichliformes; Cichlidae.